GUGCUCACUUCAGCAGCACAUAUACUAAAAUUGGAAUAAUGCAGGUAAAAUUAGCAUGGACCCUGUGCAAGGAUGACACACAAAUUCAUGAAGCAUUCCAUGUUUAA
Small nuclear RNA from Callithrix jacchus (white-tufted-ear marmoset), 107 nucleotides. The record is from Ensembl. NCBI's taxonomy places the organism in Eukaryota, Metazoa, Chordata, Mammalia, Primates, Cebidae.